UUUUUUUUCUUUUUUUUUUUACAGAAUAAAAUACAUACAUUUACACACAAUUACAUUCACACAGAUUAUUAUAACAUGGAUCUUAAGAAACAGAUUACAUGACUCCCACUAGGGAAGUGGAAUGGAAAAUAUGCUGAGACAAAUAGGAAAUUUAUUCUAUGCUUUAUCCCAAUUUUAUGGCUUUCAUCUUUACUACUUAGUUUUAUCUAUUACAUUUCAAUUUUUCUUUAAAAAUUAGCAUUAUAUUAAAUUGUUAUAUAAAAUUUAUAAAGAAGAAAGCUUUAUAUACCAUUAAAUAUUUUAUAUAGCAUAGUAAAAAGAAUAACUUAACUGGUAAGCAUAACAAAAAUAGUACACCCUCUGAAAAUAAGUAAAAUAUAAAAUGCAUAAGUUGGUUAAAAAACAGUGUAACUAUAUAAAUAGGUCCUCACAAUUUGUUCCAUCUCGUUGAUUCUUCAGUAAAGUCAUUACACCAUUCUAGCAUUCUAGGUGAUGUGAUAAACAAGACAUUAUAGACUUUACAUUGUAACAUGGAGAGAAAUGGUUAUUAAUAAUACAAUAGUAGAACUGUAUUAUUUAAUUGUACAGUGACAUUAUUUAAUUAUAAUUAUCAUAAGUUCUUUGAUGGAGAGGAAAUCAGAAUCAGAUGUAAGAAGACUUUAGCAUUCCAAGAAUAAUGUCAAAUGACCCCCUUCAUGGUGGAUUAUGCACUUACUUACUAUGAGAUAUAUUUCUUCUCCAGAGAUUCCUUGUUUGUGUAUCAAUUGUAGAUUUUGGUUUGCAGUUAUUCCAAAGUUUUGAUGUAAGCGUCUAUAUGUAUAUGAGAUUGUUUUAAGUUGUUGUUCUCUUAAUUGCAAGUUCAUCUCCAGUGUCCCGCAUUUGUACCCUCCUCUUCUCAUGAUUUCUGAUUUUGAUGGUAUAAUUGUGCAUGGAUGAUUUCGUAUCUUUACUGUAUAUAUGCCUUUACUGAUGAGCCUUGUCAUUUGUGGAAUUUUUGUUUCCUGUUGCUGAUCUUUUCUUUCCUGCCUAGAGAAGUUCCUUUAGUAUUUGUUGUAAGGCUGGGUUAGUGUUGCUGAAUUCUCUCAGCUUUUGCUUAUCUGAGAAGGUUUUGAUUUCUCCUUCAAAUCUGAAUGAGAGCCUUGCUGGGUAGAGUAAUCUUGGUUGGAGGUUUUUUCCUUUCAUCACGUUAAGUGUAUCAUGCCACUCCCUUCUGGACUGCAGUUUCUGCUGAAAACUCUGCUGAUAACCUUAUCGGGGUUCCCUUGUAUGUUACUUGUUUCUUUUCCCUAGCUGCUUUCAAGAUUUUCUCUUUGUCUUUAAUUUUGGUCAGUUUGAUUAUUAUGUGUCUCGGGGUGUUCCUCCUUGGGUUUAUUUUAUAUGGUACUCGUUGUGCCUCCUGGAUUUGAGUGAGUGGUUCCUUUCCCAUGUGAGGGAAAUUUUCGGCUUUUAUCUCUUGGAAUAUUUUUUCUGUCCCCUUCUCUCUCUCUUCUUCUGGCACCCCUAUAAUACGGAUGUUGGUGCGUUUAACAUUGUCCCAGAGUUCCCUGAGACUCUCUUCAUUUCUUUUCAAUCUUUUUUCUCUUUUCUGUUCUGCAUCCAUAAUUUCUUCUAAUCUGUCCUCCACCUCGCUUGUUCGUUUUUCUGCCUCCUGUAUUCUGCUAUUAGCUGCUUCUAGUGAGUUUUUUAUUUCAGUUAUUGUCUUUUGCAUCUCUUCUUGUUUAAGUUUUAUAUCUUGUUAUGUUUCUUCUAAGUUAUCCAUCUUUGCCACCAGUUUAUUUCCAAUGUCUUGCAUCAUCUUCAGCAUCUACAGUCUAAAGUCUUUUUCCUGGAGGCUGAGAAUCUCCUCAUCACUUAGCUGAUUUUCUGGGGUUUUUCCUUUCUCCCUCAUCUGAGUUAUAGUUCUCUGUCUUUUCAUUUUUAUAGGUUUUUGGUGUGGUGACCUUUUUAUAGAUAAUAGAGCUGUAGCCUCUCUUACUUCUGGUGUCUGCCCCCCUUGUGGCUGAAGUCAGUAUGGGGGCUUGCUGUAGGCUUCCUGAUGGGAGGGGCUGAUGCCUGCCCACUGGUAGGUGGAGCUGAUUCUAAUCCCUCUGGUGGGUGGGGCUUAGUCUCUGGAUGGGAUUAGGGGCUGCUGUGUGCCUGAGGCUCUUUAGGUAGCCUGUUUACUGAGGGGUGGGGCUGUGAUCCCACCUGGAUUGUUGUUUGCCCUGGGGCUUCUCAGCACUGACUGAUGGGUGGGGCCAGAUUUUCCCAAAAUGGCCACCUCCAGAGAAAGGCAACUGCUGAAUAUUCCCGAGAGCUUUGCCUUCAAUGUCCUUCCCUCACAACAAGCCACAUUCACCCCUGUUUUCCCAUGAUGUCCUCCAAGAACUGCAGUCAGGUUUGACCUAGGUUCCUGUGGAGACCUCGCUCUGCCCUGGGACCUAGUGCACGUGAAAGUCUGUGUGCGCCUUUUAAGAAUGGGGUCUCCAUUUCCCCCAGUCCUGUGGAGCUCCUGCACACAAGCCCCACUGGCCUUCAAUGCCAGAUGCUCCAGGGGCUCUUUCUCAGAGACAGAUCCCAGCAUGUUAGGGUUUGAUGUGGGGCUCAGAACUCUCACUCCUGUAGGUGAGUCUCUGUGAGCCAGUUAGUUUUCAGUCUGUGGAGCUUCCCACCCGGGAGGUAUGGGGUUGUUUAUAUUACGAAAUCACCCCUCCUACCUGUGGAUGUGGCCUCCUCUUUUUCUUCUGGAGUAUGGUAUGGGUUUCCGGUCCAUUUGGUUGGAGAUUGCUCAGUCUUUAGUUGUGAAUUUUGUUGUUUUUAGGAGAGAAGUUGAGCUCCAGUCCUUCUAUUCCGCCAUCUAAUCCCAUCUCUUAAUUACAGUUCUUUAUCGAAAGGCUUGUAUCAAGGGCUUUUCUUUCUUAAAGACACCUUCCUUUCCUUCUAGAACAUUUAAAAGACAUAAACAUUUCCAUUCUAAAUGAAAAGACACACACACAAAUAAAGUACCUGAGUCCAAAGACCAUUUUUAGCACUCUUGAAAGGCAGUUUACUUGAGUAUCGUUUUUCAAAACACACAAGUGGAUUAUAGUUGGGACUGCUCUGACCACUGACCCAGGCAAACCAUUACUUCCCUCUGGGAACCUAAGCUCUCAUGCUGCACUGAGUGCUCAUCUAAAAUGAGGAGAUGUUUGAAUUUCCCUUCCUGAUCCCAGGGAUGAAGAUGAUUGGAGAAGUCAGCUUAGGAUAGGUGGCCUGAUUUUGCUGUUUUUAUGAUUUGUAUUGAUUGUUGUGGUUAAGCCCAGUUGGUCUGUUGAGUCUCUCAAAAAUGCUUAAUUAUUCUGUCAAAAGGUUUAAUUAGGUACACAGAUGUCAUUAACCUCUUCUGAAUUGCAAUGUUGGGGUGAGCAGGAUCACCUAAUAAUAAUUCCUUAAAUAUAUGUAGUGCUUAUAAAGUCUGUGUGUUUUCACCCUUUCCUCUUUUUUAAAAAUUAAUUAAUUUUUGUUUGCUCUUAUUGUUAUUUCUCCAAUUCAAUUUUUUUUUCCUCCUGUACAGCAUGGUGACCCAGUUACACAUACAUGUAUAUAUUCUUUUUUCUCCCAUUAUCAUGCUCCAUCAUAAGUGACUAGACAUAGUUCUCAGCGCUACAUGGCAGGAUCUCAUCGCUAAUCCAUUCCAAAGGCAAUAGUCUGCAUCUAUUAACCCCAAGCUCCCAAUUCCUCCCACUCCCUCCCGCUCCCCCUUGGCAACCACAAGUCUCUUCUCCAAGUCCAUGAUUUUCUUUUCUGCGGAAAGGUUCCUUUGUGCCAUAUAUUAGAUUCCAGAUACAAGUGAUAUCAUAUGGUAUUCGUCUUUCUCUUUCUGACUUACUUCACUCAUGAGUCUCUAGUUCCAUCCAUGUUGCUACCCUUUCCUCUGUAGUCCUUUCCAAUAGAUCAGCGUGACCAGUAUUGGGCACCAGUAGGAGGGUAAUAAUCAAUCCUUGGCAUGACAUUCUAGGUCUGUAACCAAGGCCUCUCUGCCAAUCUAGGUAACCUCAUCUCCUGCUCAUUGUAAACACUGGUCCUCUGGUACUGCUGAAUUGCAUGUGGUUUCUUCAGUGGGCCAUAUUCUCUGUGACUUUCCUUCUGUGCAUUCCUGACGGUAAGAAUGGUGUUAGAAAUGCCUGAGAGGGUGCGGAGAAAAGGGACCCCUCCUACACUGUUGGUGAGAAUGUAAAUUGGUACAACCACUAUGGAAAACAGUAUGGAGAUUCCUUAGAAAACUAAAUAUAGAACUCCUAUAUGAUCCAGCCAUCCCACUCCUGUGCAUAUAUACAGACAAAACUAUAAUUCAAAAAGAUACAUUCACCGCUGUAUUCAUAGUGGCAUUAUUCAGAAUAGCUGAGACAUGGAAACAACCUAAAUGUCCAUCAACAGAUAAAUGGAUAAAGAAGACAUGGUUCAGAAGUUCUCGUCGUGGCUCAGCAGUGAACAAACCUGACUAGCAUCCAUGAGGAUACAGGUUUGAUCCCUGACCUCACUCUGGGUUAAGGAUCUGGCAUUGCUGUGAACUGUGGUGUAGGUCGCAGACGUGGCUUGGUGUGGGUUGGCAGCUACAGCUCCGAUUCAAUGCCUAGCCUGGGAACUUCCAUAUACUGUAGGCACAGCCCUAGAAAGACAAAAAGACAAAAAAAAAAAAAAAAAAAAA
RNAcentral lists this long non-coding RNA (4666 nucleotides) under Sus scrofa (pig). Its description in RNAcentral is "lncRNA (ENSSSCG00055002386.1)". Lineage: Eukaryota; Metazoa; Chordata; Mammalia; Artiodactyla; Suidae. The record is from RNAcentral.